Molecule: ribosomal RNA, 492 nt
Filed under: uncultured bacterium
Lineage: Bacteria
Description: partial 16S ribosomal RNA
Rfam family: Bacterial small subunit ribosomal RNA
Source: RNAcentral
AGUGAACGCUGGCGGUAGGCCUAACACAUGCCAGUCGAACGGCAGCACAGUAAGAGCUUGCUCUUACGGGUGGCGAGUGGCGGACGGGUGAGGCAUACAUCGGAAUCUACUUUUUCGUGGGGGAUAACGUAGGGAAACUUACGCUAAUACCGCAUACGACCUACGGGUGAAAUCAGGGGAUCUUCGGACCUUGCGCGAUUGAAUGAGCCGAUGUCGGAUUAGCUAGUUGGCGGGGUAAAGGCCCACCAAGGCGACGAUCCGUAGCUGGUCUGAGAGGAUGAUCAGCCACACUGGAACUGAGACACGGUCCAGACUCCUACGGGAGGCAGCAGUGGGGAAUAUUGGACAAUGGGCGCAAGCCUGAUCCAGCCAUACCGCGUGGGUGAAGAAGGCCUUCGGGUUGUAAAGCCCUUUUGUUGGGAAAGAAAAGCAGCAGGUUAAUACCCCGCUGUUCUGACGGUACCCAAAGAAUAAGCACCGGCUAACUUCGUG